RNAcentral lists this ribosomal RNA (459 nucleotides) under uncultured bacterium. Its description in RNAcentral is "partial 16S ribosomal RNA". It matches the Rfam family "Bacterial small subunit ribosomal RNA", at positions 338 to 795 of the family's 1533-position model. The record is from RNAcentral.
CCUACGGGAGGCAGCAGUGAGGAAUAUUGGUCAAUGGGCGAGAUCCUGAACCAGCCAAGUCGCGUGAGGGAAGACGGCCCUAUGGGUUGUAAACCUCUUUUGUCGGGGAACAAAACCCGGGACGUGUCCCGGCCUGCGUGUAUCCGAAGAAAAAGCAUCGGCUAACUCCGUGCCAGCAGCCGCGGUAAUAGGGAGGAUGCGAGCCUUAUCCGGAUUUAUUGGGUUUUAAGGGUGCGUAGGCGGGCCGUUAAGUCAGCGGUAAAAUUGCGGGGCUAAACCCCGUCGAGCCGUUGAAACUGGCAGACUUGAGUAGGCGAGAAGUACGCGGAAUGCGCGGUGUAGCGGUGAAAUGCGUAGAUAGCAGGAAGAACACCGGUUGCGAAGGCAGCCUGCUGGACUGCAACUGACGUUGAGGCCCGAAAGCGUGGGGAGCAAACAGGAUUAGAUACCCGUGUAGUC